Long non-coding RNA from Sardina pilchardus (European sardine), 429 nucleotides. RefSeq lists it as uncharacterized. The transcript has 3 exons. The record is from RefSeq and is a predicted model, not a curated record. NCBI's taxonomy places the organism in Eukaryota, Metazoa, Chordata, Actinopteri, Clupeiformes, Clupeidae.
AUAGACCCCUAAGAUCACCACUUGGAUAUGGAUAUGGGCUUGCCUGUCUGGGAGCAACAUCUGGGGGGCACCUCCCACGAUGACUGCAAGAGGGAAUACGACGAGGAUAGAGAGGGAGGGGGGAAAAGAGACGUUAUCGCCAUUACACCAUCCGAUGAGCAAGAGCAGACGAGGAGUGGGUCCCGUUCUCCGUGUUUGCCAUCUUCUCGAGGCCAGCCAGGGCGGCGCCAGGCUCGGUGUUGUGCAGCUUCUCCAGGCUGCCCGUCAGGCCUCCCACGGGCGAGCUACCGCCAUUACCCACGCUCCCCGACAGGGAGGGCGGCAGGCCGCCGUUCUGGAUGACCGAGAUCUCGUUGGUCUUCAUGGCCAGGCCGUUGGAGAAGGCGGCGGCGUACUGGUUCCAGAAGCUGGCCGGGUCCCCGUUGCCAG